This 507-nucleotide ribosomal RNA is filed under the name uncultured bacterium. Its description in RNAcentral is "partial 16S ribosomal RNA". The record is from RNAcentral.
GGAGUUAGCCGGUGCUUCUUCUGUGAGUGAUGUCCUUCCUGCCGGUUAUUGACCCGCAGGCCUUCUUCCUCACUGAAAGUGCUUUACAACCCGAAGGCCUUCUUCACACACGCGGCAUGGCUGGAUCAGGGUUGCCCCCAUUGUCCAAUAUUCCCCACUGCUGCCUCCCGUAGGAGUCUGGGCCGUGUCUCAGUCCCAGUGUGGCUGAUCAUCCUCUCAGACCAGCUACGGAUCGUCGCCUUGGUGAGCCGUUACCUCACCAACCAGCUAAUCCGACAUAGGCUCAUCCGAUAGCGCGAGGCCCGAAGGUCCCCCGCUUUCCCCCGUAGGGCGUAUGCGGUAUUAGCCUGGGUUUCCCCAGGUUAUCCCCCACUACCGGGCAGAUUCCUAUGCAUUACUCACCCGUCCGCCGCUCGCCACCAGGGAGCAAGCUCCCCGUGCUGCCGCUCGACUUGCAUGUGUUAGGCCUGCCGCCAGCGUUCAAUCUAAGCCAGAAUCGAACCCUGA